RNAcentral lists this ribosomal RNA (126 nucleotides) under uncultured eukaryote. Its description in RNAcentral is "partial 18S ribosomal RNA". It matches the Rfam family "Eukaryotic small subunit ribosomal RNA", at positions 1679 to 1801 of the family's 1831-position model. The record is from RNAcentral.
CUACUACCGAUUGAAUGGCUCAGUGAGGCUUUCGGACUGUCCUAAGGAGAGUGGCUAACACUCACCCCGGGACGGAAAGUUGUUCAAACUUGGUCAUUUAGAGGAAGUAAAAGUCGUAACAAGGUU